RNAcentral lists this non-coding RNA (45 nucleotides) under Schistosoma margrebowiei. The record is from RNAcentral. Lineage: Eukaryota; Metazoa; Platyhelminthes; Trematoda; Strigeidida; Schistosomatidae.
AUCCAGCUGACGAGUCCCAAAUAGGACUACACCCGCGUCCUGGAU